Molecule: ribosomal RNA, 585 nt
Filed under: uncultured bacterium
Lineage: Bacteria
Description: bacterial SSU rRNA
Rfam family: Bacterial small subunit ribosomal RNA
Source: RNAcentral
ACGGGUGAGUAAUACUUAGGAAUCUGCCUAUUAAUGGGGGACAACAUCUCGAAAGGGAUGCUAAUACCGCAUACGCCCUACGGGGGAAAGCAGGGGAUCACUUGUGACCUUGCGUUAAUAGAUGAGCCUAAGUCGGAUUAGCUAGUUGGUGGGGUAAAGGCCUACCAAGGCGACGAUCUGUAGCGGGUCUGAGAGGAUGAUCCGCCACACUGGGACUGAGACACGGCCCAGACUCCUACGGGAGGCAGCAGUGGGGAAUAUUGGACAAUGGGGGGAACCCUGACCCAGCCAUGCCGCGUGUGUGAAGAAGGCCUUAUGGUUGUAAAGCACUUUAAGCGAGGAGGAGGCUCUCUUGGUUAAUACCCAAGAAGAGUGGACGUUACUCGCAGAAUAAGCACCGGCUAACUCUGUGCCAGCAGCCGCGGUAAUACAGAGGGUGCGAGCGUUAAUCGGAUUUACUGGGCGUAAAGCGUGCGUAGGCGGCUUUUUAAGUCGGAUGUGAAAUCCCCGAGCUUAACUUGGGAAUUGCAUUCGAUACUGGGAAGCUAGAGUAUGGGAGAGGAUGGUAGAAUUCCAGGUGUAGCG